CAGCCAUCUCCUCUCCUCUCCCUGCACUCCUGUAUCACCUUGGGUAAAAUCCAGGGACGGAGAACAAUCAACGGCUUGUUUCACCCAGGGUAGAACUUGGCAGGAACCCCUGGAAUUGCUGUCACCACCUUUCCCACUCCAGGGUAAUUCAUAAGUGUCUGCAUUUCCAUGGCACGAGGGGGAGAGAGAGAGAGAGAGAGAGAGAACCGGUAACCCUCUACCUACAAAAACCAGCACUGGGAGCAUUCUAGGGGGAGGAGGAAGAAAGGUUCAGAGGCCUUUGACAAUAAACUCCCGACCACGAUGUUCCAGGACCGGGAUGGACAAACUUCUGCCACUGGACCAAAUGUGGCUUGCCACUUUUUGAGAAGUUCGUGAUCUCCUGUCCUAGGAAAAACCACGUGUCUGCGACAGAGACUUGUGGGGAGGGUCUCAUCACUGCAUGCGGAGUACCAGCAGCCAGGCUUGGGUGCCUCAGGAGGGAGGCUGCAGGAUUUUUCCCUGGAGAAACU
Molecule: long non-coding RNA, 512 nt
Filed under: Cervus hanglu yarkandensis (Yarkand deer)
Lineage: Eukaryota; Metazoa; Chordata; Mammalia; Artiodactyla; Cervidae
Description: lncRNA (ENSCHYG00000010764.1)
Source: RNAcentral